This 427-nucleotide ribosomal RNA is filed under the name uncultured bacterium. RNAcentral describes it as "partial 16S ribosomal RNA". It matches the Rfam family "Bacterial small subunit ribosomal RNA", at positions 355 to 774 of the family's 1533-position model. The record is from RNAcentral.
UGGGGAAUAUUGGACAAUGGGCGAAAGCCUGAUCCAGCCAUGCCGCGUGUGUGAAGAAGGUCUUCGGAUUGUAAAGCACUUUAAGUUGGGAGGAAGGGCAUUAACCUAAUACGUUAGUGUUUUGACGUUACCGACAGAAUAAGCACCGGCUAACUCUGUGCCAGCAGCCGCGGUAAUACAGAGGGUGCAAGCGUUAAUCGGAAUUACUGGGCGUAAAGCGCGCGUAGGUGGUUUGUUAAGUUGGAUGUGAAAUCCCCGGGCUCAACCUGGGAACUGCAUUCAAAACUGACUGACUAGAGUAUGGUAGAGGGUGGUGGAAUUUCCUGUGUAGCGGUGAAAUGCGUAGAUAUAGGAAGGAACACCAGUGGCGAAGGCGACCACCUGGACUAAUACUGACACUGAGGCACGAAAGCGUGGGGAGCAAACA